CCUGGUAGUGGGGGACAACGUUUCGAAAGGAACGCUAAUACCGCAUACGUCCUACGGGAGAAAGCAGGGGACCUUCGGGCCUUGCGCUAUCAGAUGAGCCUAGGUCGGAUUAGCUUGUUGGUGAGGUAAUGGCUCACCAACGCGACGAUCCGUAACUGGUCUGAGAGGAUGAUCAGUCACACUGGAACUGAGACACGGUCCAGACUCCUACGGGAGGCAGCAGUGGGGAAUAUUGGACAAUGGGCGAAAGCCUGAUCCAGCCAUGCCGCGUGUGUGAAGAAGGUCUUCGGAUUGUAAAGCACUUUAAGUUGGGAGGAAGGGCAGCUAGCGAAUACCUGGUUGUUUUGACGUUACCGACAGAAUAAGCACCGGCUAACUCUGUGCCAGCAGCCGCGGUAAU
RNAcentral lists this ribosomal RNA (400 nucleotides) under uncultured bacterium. Its description in RNAcentral is "bacterial SSU rRNA". It matches the Rfam family "Bacterial small subunit ribosomal RNA", at positions 129 to 524 of the family's 1533-position model. The record is from RNAcentral.